AGUAUCGGAACGUACCUUUCAGUGGGGGAUAACGUAGCGAAAGUUACGCUAAUACCGCAUAUUCUGUGAGCAGGAAAGCAGGGGAUCGCAAGACCUUGCGCUGAUUGAGCGGCCGAUAUCAGAUUAGCUAGUUGGUGGGGUAAAGGCCUACCAAGGCGACGAUCUGUAGCGGGUCUGAGAGGAUGAUCCGCCACACUGGAACUGAGACACGGUCCAGACUCCUACGGGAGGCAGCAGUGGGGAAUUUUGGACAAUGGGGGCAACCCUGAUCCAGCCAUGCCGCGUGAGUGAAGAAGGCCUUCGGGUUGUAAAGCUCUUUCGGCCGGGAAGAAAUCGCACAGGCUAAUACCCUGUGUGGAUGACGGUACCGGAAUAAGAAGCACCGGCUAACUACGUG
Molecule: ribosomal RNA, 397 nt
Filed under: uncultured bacterium
Lineage: Bacteria
Description: bacterial SSU rRNA
Rfam family: Bacterial small subunit ribosomal RNA
Source: RNAcentral